GACGAACGCUGGCGGCGUGCUUAACACAUGCAAGUCGAACGGAAAGGCCCUGCUUUUGUGGGGUGCUCGAGUGGCGAACGGGUGAGUAACACGUGAGUAACCUGCCCUUGACUUUGGGACAACUUCAGGAAACUGGGGCUAAUACCGGAUAGGAGCUCCUGCUGCAUGGUGGGGGUUGGAAAGUUUCGGCGGUUGGGGAUGGACUCGCGGCUUAUCAGCUUGUUGGUGGGGUAGUGGCUUACCAAGGCUUUGACGGGUAGCCGGCCUGAGAGGGUGACCGGCCACAUUGGGACUGAGAUACGGCCCAGACUCCUACGGGAGGCAGCAGUGGGGAAUAUUGCACAAUGGGCGGAAGCCUGAUGCAGCAACGCCGCGUGCGGGAUGACGGCCUUCGGGUUGUAAACCGCUUUCGCCUGUGACGAAGCGUGAGUGACGGUAAUGGGUAAAGAAGCACCGGCUAACUACGUGCCAGCAGCCGCGGUGAUACGUAGGGUGCGAGCGUUGUCCGGAUUUAUUGGGCGUAAAGGGCUCGUAGGUGGUUGAUCGCGUCGGAAGUGUAAUCUUGGGGCUUAACCCUGAGCGUGCUUUCGAUACGGGUUGACUUGAGGAAGGUAGGGGAGAAUGGAAUUCCUGGUGGAGCGGUGGAAUGCGCAGAUAUCAGGAGGAACACCAGUGGCGAAGGCGGUUCUCUGGGCCUUUCCUGACGCUGAGGAGCGAAAGCGUGGGGAGCGAACAGGCUUAGAUACCCUGGUAGUCCACGCUGUAAACGGUGGGUACUAGGUGUGGGGUCCAUUCCACGGGUUCCGUGCCGUAGCUAACGCUUUAAGUACCCCGCCUGGGGAGUACGGCCGCAAGGCUAAAACUCAAAGGAAUUGACGGGGCCCCGCACAAGCGGCGGAGCAUGCGGAUUAAUUCGAUGCAACGCGUAGAACCUUACCUGGGUUUGACAUGGAUCGGGAGUGCUCAGAGAUGGGUGUGCCUCUUUUGGGGUCGGUUCACAGGUGGUGCAUGGCUGUCGUCAGCUCGUGUCGUGAGAUGUUGGGUUAAGUCCCGCAACGAGCGCAACCCUUGUUCACUGUUGCCAGCACGUUAUGGUGGGGACUCAGUGGAGACCGCCGGGGUCAACUCGGAGGAAGGUGGGGAUGACGUCAAGUCAUCAUGCCCCUUAUGUCCAGGGCUUCACGCAUGCUACAAUGGCUGGUACAGAGAGUGGCGAGCCUGUGAGGGUGAGCGAAUCUCGGAAAGCCGGUCUCAGUUCGGAUUGGGGUCUGCAACUCGACCUCAUGAAGUCGGAGUCGCUAGUAAUCGCAGAUCAGCAACGCUGCGGUGAAUACGUUCCCGGG
Molecule: ribosomal RNA, 1343 nt
Filed under: uncultured bacterium
Lineage: Bacteria
Description: 16S ribosomal RNA
Rfam family: Bacterial small subunit ribosomal RNA
Source: RNAcentral